GAUGAACGCUGGCGGCGUGCUUAACACAUGCAAGUCGAACGGGAAACCUUUUAUUGAAGCUUCGGCAGAUUUAGCUGGUUUCUAGUGGCGGACGGGUGAGUAACGCGUGGGUAACCUGCCUUAUACAGGGGGAUAACAACCAGAAAUGGUUGCUAAUACCGCAUAAGCGCACCGGACCGCAUGGUCCGGUGUGAAAAACUCCGGUGGUAUAAGAUGGACCCGCGUUGGAUUAGCUAGUUGGCAGGGUAACGGCCUACCAAGGCGACGAUCCAUAGCCGGCCUGAGAGGGUGAACGGCCACAUUGGGACUGAGACACGGCCCAGACUCCUACGGGAGGCAGCAGUGGGGAAUAUUGCACAAUGGGGGAAACCCUGAUGCAGCGACGCCGCGUGAAGGAAGAAGUAUCUCGGUAUGUAAACUUCUAUCAGCAGGGAAGAUAGUGACGGUACCUGACGAAGAAGCCCCGGCUAACUACGUG
Molecule: ribosomal RNA, 478 nt
Filed under: uncultured bacterium
Lineage: Bacteria
Description: partial 16S ribosomal RNA
Rfam family: Bacterial small subunit ribosomal RNA
Source: RNAcentral